UUAAGUAAGAAAGGGCGUACGGUGGAUGCCUAGGCACUUGAAACUGAAGAAGGACGCAACAAACGGCGAAACGCGGCGGGGAGCUGUACGUAAGCAAAGAUCCGCCGGUAUCCGAAUGGGGGAACCCGGCAUGCGUAAUAGCAUGUCAUCCGCAGAUGAACAAAUAGUCUGCGAGAGAGGUACCCGGGGAACUGAAACAUCUAAGUACCCGGAGGAAAAGAAAACAACAGUGAUUCCCUGAGUAGCGGCGAGCGAAAGGGGAGGAGCCCAAACCAGACCGAGGUCUGGGGUUGAAGGACCGCGAUACGGCAAGAAUCAUGGUAGGAGAACGGCAUUGAAAGGCCGACCGGAGAGGGUGCAAGUCCCGUAUCCGAAACCGUGAGGAAGCCCAGCGGGAUCCUGAGUACGGCGAGACACGAGAAAUCUUGUCGGAAGCAGGCGGGACCAUCCGUCAAGGCUAAAUAUAAGCAAGUGACCGAUAGUGAACCAGUACCGUGAGGGAAAGGUGAAAAGAACCGCGGGAGCGGAGUGAAACAGAACCUGAAACCGUAUGCUUACAAGAAGUCAGAGCACGUUAAGGUGUGAUGGCGUGCCUUUUGUAGAAUGAACCGGCGAGUUAUGUUAUCGUGCGAGGUUAAGCAGGAGAUGCGGAGCCGAAGCGAAAGCGAGUCUUAAUAGGGCGGCAGUACGAUGACAUAGACCCGAAACCGUGUGAUCUAGCCAUGACCAGGUUGAAGUUCAGGUGAAACUGAAUGGAGGACCGAACCGACCCCCGUUGAAAAGUUGGCGGAUGAGUUGUGGCUAGGGGAGAAAUUCCAAUCGAACACGGAUAUAGCUGGUUCUCCCCGAAAUAGCUUUAGGGCUAGCGUCGAGGAUGAGUCUUGUGGAGGUAGAGCACUGAAUGUACGAUGGCCCCAUCCCGGGGUACUGAGUAUAAUCAAACUCCGAAUGCCAUGAGAUAUUCCCGGCAGUCAGACCGUGGGUGAUAAGGUCCAUGGUCAAAAGGGAAACAGCCCAGACCGCCAGUUAAGGUCCCAAAAUGUAUGCUAAGUGGAAAAGGAUGUGGGGAUGCACAGACAACUAGGAGGUUGGCUCAGAAGCAGCCAUCCUUCAAAGAGUGCGUAACAGCUCACUAGUCGAGUGACCCUGCGCCGAAAAUGUACCGGGGCUAAGCAUACUACCGAAGCUGCGGAUUUGUAGUAAUACAAGUGGUAGGGGAGCGUUCCAUGCACGUGGAAGCCAUACCGAAAGGAGUGGUGGAGAGCAUGGAAGUGAGAAUGCCGGUGUGAGUAGCGAGAUGCAGGUGAGAAUCCUGCACACCGAUAGCCCAAGGAUUCCAGGGGAAGGUUCGUCCGCCCUGGGUAAGUCGGGACCUAAGGCGAGGCCGAAAGGCGUAGUCGAUGGAAAACAGGCAGAUAUUCCUGUACCCGCGAUGGAAAUGAAGGAAUGACGGAGAAGGCUAGCAUGAGCCACUUAUUGGAUUGUGGUCGAAGCGAAUAGCAGGUGCAUAGUAAAAUGCGUGCACGGAAUGUAAAACGUGACAGGUAAGCGAAACCCCUGGGGAGUAGCGAAGCAUGCGAGGCCAGCUUCCAGGAAAAGUUUCUAGUGCUGAUUCCAUAGCGGCCCGUACCAAAACCGACACAGGUGGGCAAGGAGAGUAUCCUGAGGUGAGCGAGAGAACUGUUGCCAAGGAACUCGGCAAAAUGACUCCGUAAGUUAGCGAGAAGGAGUGCUUAUGAAAGUAAGCCGCAGUGAAGAGGCCCAAGCGACUGUUUAACUAAAACACAGCUCUCUGCGAAGUCGCAAGACGAAGUAUAGGGGGUGACGCCUGCCCGGUGCUGGAAGGUUAAGAGGAUUUGUCAGUUUCGACGAAGCAAUGAAUUGAAGCCCCAGUGAACGGCGGCCGUAACUAUAACGGUCCUAAGGUAGCGAAAUUCCUUGUCAGGUAAGUUCUGACCCGCACGAAAGGCGU
Molecule: ribosomal RNA, 1972 nt
Filed under: human gut metagenome
Description: bacterial LSU rRNA
Rfam family: Bacterial large subunit ribosomal RNA
Source: RNAcentral